GCGGAAGAGCGUUCUGGAGGACACCACCGGCGGCGGAUCGAAGUUAGGGGACGAGGAAGAAUUCCCUGCUGGGAAGGAAAGUCGAUCGGUCUACCUGGGCCUCUCACCAUGGCGAGUUCCCUGAGCAACAGGUUUCACGACCAACUCAGGCUCAGCUCUCCAAAGAAGUUAUACAAAUGGCCAACGAACACAUGAAAAGAUGCUCAACAUGACUGGUCCCGGAGAAAAUGCAAAUCAAAACCAUGAGAUACCACCUCAUAACCCAUCAGAACAGCUACUAUCAAAAAGUAAAGAAGAAGAAGUUGGUGAGGAUGUGCAGAAAAUGGAAACCUUGGGUACUUCUGAUGGGAAUGUAAAGUGGUAUAAUCACUAUGGAGAAUAGUAUGGCAGUACCUAAAAAAAGUUAAACAGUUUUCAAAUGACCCAGCAUUCCAGUUCUGGGUAUAUACAGAAAAGAAUUGAAAGCAGAGUCUCAAAGAGGUAUCUGUACUUCCAUGUUCAUAACAGCAUUGUUAACAAUAGACAAAAGGUGGAAUCAACCCAUUCAACAGAUGAAUGGAUAAAUAAAAUGUACAUGCAAUGGAAUAUUUUCAGCCUUAAAAAGGAAAGAAAUUCUGGCACAUACUACAAUUGUGAGGACAUUCUGAGUAAGUCAGUAACAAAAAGACAUACUAUAUGACUCUAUUUAUAUGAAGUACCUAUAGUAGUCAAAUUCACAGAGAUAGAAAGUAGAAUGAUGAUAGCUAGGGACUGGGGGGAGUGGAAAUGGGGAAUUGUUUAAUGGGUAUCAGUUUCAGUUUUGCAAGAUGAAGAGUUCUGGAGAUUGCACAAAAAAGUGAAUGUACUUAACGCUGCUAAACUGCUCACUUAAUGGUUAAGAUGAGGAUUUUAUGUUAUGUGUAUUUUACCACAAUUUAAA
Vicugna pacos (alpaca) is the source of this 919-nucleotide non-coding RNA. The record is from RefSeq and is a predicted model, not a curated record. Lineage: Eukaryota; Metazoa; Chordata; Mammalia; Artiodactyla; Camelidae.